AUCAGUAAGCGGAGGAAAAGAAACUAACAAGGAUUCCCCUAGUAACGGCGAGUGAAGCGGGAUCUAGCCCAGCACCGAAUCCCCCGUGCCGAGAGGAGCGGCGGGAGCUGUGGUGUUUGGGACGGCCGAAGGCCCGGCGCGCGGCGCUCGAGUCCUCCUGAUCGGGGCCCCAUCCCAUGGCGGGUGUUAGGCCUCUGGCGGCUGCCGCUGUGUCGGUGCCUCUCGGCGUCCCCGGAGUCGGGUUGCUUGGGAAUGCAGCCCAAAGUGGGUGGUAAACUCCAUCUAAGGCUAAAUACUUGCACGAGACCGAUAGCGGACAAGUACCGUGAGGGAAAGUU
RNAcentral lists this ribosomal RNA (338 nucleotides) under Amblyosyllis sp. 4 DLB-2019. RNAcentral's name for it is "partial 28S ribosomal RNA". It matches the Rfam family "Eukaryotic large subunit ribosomal RNA", at positions 42 to 365 of the family's 3401-position model. Lineage: Eukaryota; Metazoa; Annelida; Polychaeta; Phyllodocida; Syllidae. The record is from RNAcentral.